UAAUAGCUCACUAGUCGAGAGGUCCUGCGCCGAAAAUGUCCGGGGCUGAAACACAACACCGAAGCUUAGGAAUGUCAUAUGACAUUGGUAGAGGAGCAUUCUUAAAGGAGCGAAGCAGUACCGAUAAGGAGCUGUGGACUUUUAAGAAGAGAGAAUGCCGGAAUGAGUAGCGAGAUGGAGGUGGGAAUCCUCCAGGCCGAAUAUCCAAGGUUUCCAGAGUAAAGCUGAUCUGCUCUGGGUAAGUCGGGGCCUAAGGCGAGGCUGAGAGGCGUAGUCGAUGGACAACAGGUUGAAAUUCCUGUACCAUGUAUCAUCAGAACUGUGGGGACACAGAAGGACAACACAUCCCGGGAAUGGGAAUACCGGGGCAAGCGGGGUAGGAGUACGGUUGGCAAAUCCGCCGUGCAAUCCGAAUACGUGACGCGGAGCGAACGAAAGUAGCGAAGUGUGUGAUUCCGGCUGUCAAGAAAAGCCGCUAUAGUGUGAUACAUGCCCGUACCGUAAACCGACACAGGUAGAUGAGGAGAGAAUCCUAAGGCCGGCGGGAGAAGCAUUGUUAAGGAACUCGGCAAAAUGACCCCGUAACUUCGGGAGAAGGGGUGCCACAGAGAUGUGGCCGCAGAGAAUAGGCUCAAGCAACUGUUUAGCAAAAACACAGGUCUAUGCAAAACCGUAAGGUGAGGUAUAUGGGCUGACGCCUGCCCGGUGCUGGAAGGUUAAGAGGAGAGGUUAGAGAAAUCGAAGCUUUGAAUUUAAGCCCCAGUAAACGGCGGCCGUAACUAUAACGGUCCUAAGGUAGCGAAAUUCCUUGUCGGGUAAGUUCCGACCCGCACGAAAGGCGUAAUGAUUUGGGCACUGUCUCAACAAUGCACCCGGUGAAAUUGAAAUACCAGUGAAGAUGCUGGUUACCUGCGCCAGGACGGAAAGACCCCAUGGAGCUUUACUCCAGCUUGAUACUGGGAUUCGAUAUUGCAUGUACAGGAUAGGUGGGAGACUGAGAACUGAUGACGCCAGUUGUCAGGGAGUCACUGUUGGGAUACCACCCUUGUAGUAUUGGAUUUCUAACCAGCAGCCGUGAACCGGCUGGGGGACAAUGUCAGGUGGGGAGUUUGACUGGGGCGGUCGCCUCCGAAAGGGUAUCGGAGGCGCUCAAAGGU
RNAcentral lists this ribosomal RNA (1157 nucleotides) under human gut metagenome. Its description in RNAcentral is "bacterial LSU rRNA". It matches the Rfam family "Bacterial large subunit ribosomal RNA", at positions 1135 to 2317 of the family's 2925-position model. The record is from RNAcentral.